UUAAGUUCAGCGGGUAUCCUCACCUGAUCCGAGGUCAAACUUUGGGAUGUAGUUACCUGGCAGGCACCGCCGCGGACUCCUGAAGCGAAAUUUUUGCUACGCUUGAAGCCGGACUGCACCGCCAACGGGUUGCGGACGGGUCACUUAACCGCGUCCAAGACAAGCUGGGCUUGAUGGUUUAAAUGACGCUCGAACAGGCG
RNAcentral lists this unclassified non-coding RNA (200 nucleotides) under Dothideomycetes sp. RNAcentral describes it as "partial internal transcribed spacer 2". Lineage: Eukaryota; Fungi; Ascomycota; Dothideomycetes. The record is from RNAcentral.